Molecule: long non-coding RNA, 1804 nt
Filed under: Anneissia japonica
Lineage: Eukaryota; Metazoa; Echinodermata; Crinoidea; Comatulida; Comatulidae
Description: uncharacterized LOC117116455
Source: RNAcentral
UGUGGGAGAGAGGCUUUAGUCAAUGGCUUUUUGUAACUCUGCCACAGAUCAGCAAAAACUGAAUUGGACGUUGACUUGAUUGUAUGCUAAGUUGUUCAUUGUCUUGAUUGCAUUGCUAACUUAUUGAUUGGUUUUUUAAAAUUUUUAUUGGCUUUUUAUCUGUCUUUUUUUAAUGUUUCUUACUGUAUUUUGAUUGCAAGCUCACAGGUUUGCCCUCUGUAAUUGAUGCGAGUGUGUUUUUAUACCGAAAUAACAAACAAAUGAAAAUAAAAUAAUUUAUAUAUUAUAUUCCAGGUUUGCCAAACAAAAUAAUAACUUAAUUUUUGUAACUAAUAAUAUCAUUAGUCUUGGUAUACUGCAUACCCUUUAAAUUUCUAGCAUAUGUACUAUGUGGAAGUCAAAAUUUUUAUUUAUAUUUUCAUUCCUUAAUUGUUUUGUGGCAGAACCAUGUCUCAAAAUCAAAAUAUGGUUGAAAUGUUAUGGUUACACUGCCAAGUGUAGGGUAUACAGUACAGUACUAAUGUUUUCAUUAAUACUUAGUGGCACAGAACACAUUAAAAAGAACAAGGAAGUCAUUAUUGUAUAUUUUAAAUUCUAAUUCUUCAAAAAUUCCCAUCAUGACAUGAGACGACAUUGACAUUGAAAAUUGAUUGUCUUACUGUACUUGUUACAAGAUUUGUUUUCAAAUUUUGAAAACCUUUACGCAGGGGUGGCACCAGUACCCCAUCAGGAAGGAAGCCAGUCAUUUUGUUGUGAAAACAUUUUUACAGUUUAAGACUGCCAUUUUGGGACUAGGGGUGCCUAUUCUUAAAAUUGCACCAACCAUGGUGUGGCUGAGAACCCCCUGUCGGUAAACUUUGACCUUUUAUUGGGGAGUCUGGCGCCGCCACUGCUUUUAACCUUGGUGAUCAGCUACUGUACAUAAAAAGACCUUCAGUUAUAGCAAGUAUACAGGACAUGUAAUAACACAUUGUAUGUACAAACACUCAGACAUCAGUAAGACACUCCUACAGUACAUUAUCACCACCCCCCCCCCCAAAAGCCUUAUCAUCCUUGCAAAUGAGAGAUUAAAUAAAACAAAUUGGGACAGGCAUUCAUUGUAUGAAUAAUUUGCAGAGAAAAACCAAAUGGAAACUAUUUAGGGAUUGUCUACACAGUUCUAUGAUCAUAGCGACAUAAAGUGGCAAUUACAACAGAAUUUACAUAAUUAUUCUGUGUCCUUUAAACAUCAUUUUAUGAUGUCUUCUUGGUUUAAUAAAACAACAGUAUAACUUUUUGGUUUAAGGGCUCUCAGAUAAUUUCAAGUGUGAAUAGCCAUCACACACAAAUUUAUAUUUAGAACUGAUAAUAUAGGUAAGUGUGAAUAGUUACCACACACACACAGAUUAGUGUAAAUAGCAUCACACAGAUAUGUACUGUUUUACACCUGAUGCCUGUUUGCCACAAGUAAGAUUUUUUAAUUGUAGUCACAAUUAUAACGAUUAUAGGCCUAAAUUUUUUAACUGAUAAGCGAGUCAAUUCUAGAAACGCUUGCAUAUUCAAUACAUCUCAAACCCACACAAUAAAUAAGAAUAGGUGAAUGAAGCUUACAAAACAUUGCAGAGGAUUCAUAUAAAGGCCUUAAAAAAUGUUGUGUUACGCAAACCUGCCCGCCCAACCCAAAAUACGGAAUAUCUAGGGUAAUUUUUUCUUCUUUUUUGGCAGAAAUACAUUUUCUUUACCGAGAAGCCCAAAAUACUUGUAUGAAGUUUUAACGGCUACAGUAUAUUACCAGGUAUUCAUACUGCAACUAUGGAUUUCAGUC